Molecule: non-coding RNA, 118 nt
Organism: Sodiomyces alkalinus F11
Lineage: Eukaryota; Fungi; Ascomycota; Sordariomycetes; Glomerellales; Plectosphaerellaceae
Source: the annotation of a RefSeq genome assembly
GGCGGGAUGGCCGAGUUGGUCUAAGGCGACAGUUUCAAGGUCUCAUACCCUUUCUUGCCAUAGUGCAAGUUGUUCACUGUUCUCGAAAGAGGCGUGCGUUCGAAUCGCGCUCCCGUCA